RNAcentral lists this ribosomal RNA (415 nucleotides) under uncultured bacterium. RNAcentral describes it as "bacterial SSU rRNA". It matches the Rfam family "Bacterial small subunit ribosomal RNA", at positions 508 to 921 of the family's 1533-position model. The record is from RNAcentral.
UCAGCCGCCGCGGUAAUACGGAGGGUGCAAGCGUUGUUCGGAUUUAUUGGGCGUAAAGCGCGUGUAGGCGGUCUUUUAAGUCUGAUGUGAAAGCCCCGGGCUCAACCCGGGAAGUGCAUUGGAAACUGGGAGACUUGAAUACGGGAGAGGGUAGUGGAAUUCCUAGUGUAGGAGUGAAAUCCGUAGAUAUUAGGAGGAACACCGGUGGCGAAGGCGGCUACCUGGACCGAUAUUGACGCUGAGACGCGAAAGCGUGGGGAGCAAACAGGAUUAGAUACCCUGGUAGUCCACGCCGUAAACGAUGAGUACUAGGUGUUGCGGGUAUUGACCCCUGCAGUGCCGCAGCUAACGCAUUAAGUACUCCGCCUGGGAAGUACGGUCGCAAGACUAAAACUUAAAGGAAUUGGCGGGGGAU